CUUAGCUCAGUCGGAUAGAGCAACGGCCUUCUAAGCCGUGGGUCGCAGGUUCGAAUCCUGCAGG
RNAcentral lists this transfer RNA (64 nucleotides) under Atlantibacter hermannii. It matches the Rfam family "tRNA", at positions 6 to 65 of the family's 71-position model. From Rfam's summary of the family: Transfer RNA (tRNA) molecules are approximately 80 nucleotides in length. Their secondary structure includes four short double-helical elements and three loops (D, anti-codon, and T loops). Lineage: Bacteria; Pseudomonadati; Pseudomonadota; Gammaproteobacteria; Enterobacterales; Enterobacteriaceae. RNAcentral also lists the same sequence under 6 other names. The record is from RNAcentral.